This is an unclassified non-coding RNA of Callithrix jacchus (white-tufted-ear marmoset), 293 nucleotides long. It matches the Rfam family "Metazoan signal recognition particle RNA". Rfam says of the family: The signal recognition particle (SRP) is a universally conserved ribonucleoprotein. It is involved in the co-translational targeting of proteins to membranes. NCBI's taxonomy places the organism in Eukaryota, Metazoa, Chordata, Mammalia, Primates, Cebidae. The record is from Ensembl.
CCAGGUGCAAGUGGCACAUGCCUACAGUCCCAGAUUCUUGGGUGGCUGCAGUGGGAGAAUUGCUUGAGUCCAGGAGUUCUGGGCUGUAGUGUACUAUGCCAAUCGGGUGUCUGCACUAAGUUCAGCAUCACUAUGGUGACCUUCCUGGAGCAGACCACCAGGUUGCCUAAGGAGGGGUAAAAGGACCCAGGUUGGCAAUGGAGCACAUCAGAACUUCCAUGCUGCUCAGUAGUGGGACCAUGCCUGCAAAUAGCCACUGCAUUCCAGUGAGGCCCUGUCUUGGAAGAGAGGAA